AAAGCACCAACGGGCCUGGUGGCCAGGGAGAAUGGAAGAGGCAGUGGGUGCCUGGCCCUGGGACCCUCCUGCCUUGCUCUCGGCCAGGCACAGCCUCUGAUGGGGAGGUCUAGGCUGGAGACUAUGUGGCAAUGUGCCUGGGAGCCUCAAGAAACAUCUCCUAGAAACAGAGGGUGUGGUACCCAUUUUUCUGGGCUCCAGGAGGCAAGAGAGAGAAGGCCACUGUGAGGAUCUGUGUGUCACCCCUAUGUGGGUCCACCAGGAAAUAUAGAGAAGGUUCAUCUCUCCGGCAGAACUCGGAAUGCAGAGGCCAGUGAGAAGCUUAAUGGGUUCCAGGACUCACUAGUGACAUCAGCUGCAUCCUGGACCCCCUCCUGCCCUGCUAGCCCCCUGCACAUCCUAGAAACUGCACACUGUGGGGGACACUAGCGAGGACGUCCUCCUGUGACUGAUUCUCUCUGAUUCCAAGCUAGUAGGAGUUCAAGCUCUCUAGGGGUUGCCUCUAAAUAUGAGGACUGUGCUAUGCUGGGAAGUUUUAUCAACUUGACACAAGCUAGAGUCAUUUAGGAAGAACCUCAGUUGAGAAGGCCCCCAUCCCUUUGGCUGGUAGACAAGCCUGUGGUGCAGUUUCCUGAUUGGUGAUUGAUUUGGGAGGGCCCAGGUCACUGUGGGUAGUGCCACUCCUGGACAGGUGGUCCUGGAGUGUAUAAGAAAGCCGUUGAGAGCCAUGAGGAGCAAGUCAAUAAGCAGCACCCUAUACAGUGCCUCCGUACUGACUCCUCCAUCCAAGCUCCUGCCAUGACUUCUCUCAAUGAUGGACAAUGUGAAACUGUAAACUGAAAUCAAAUCCUUUCCUCCUCGCCAAGUUGUUUACGGUCCUGGUGUUUCACCAUAGAAACAAAAACCCUAAGACACUAGCCUGGGCGGUAACUUACUGAUGAGAGCUAGCCUGAGCCAUCAGAGAUAGAAUCCCUGGCCUUGGAGAAAGAUCACCCCUCCCAGCUUCCCCUGUCUGCAGGUUCCAGCUUCUCAAUGCCAGGUAUAGAAAGCAGACUUCCGGGGGACCUCAAAGGGCUCUAGUUUCCCACCUCCUACUGACCCGUUUGACAUACAGGGAUCUCGGGUCUGCUGUUCAGGGGUCCAAACAAGUUCCAAGGAUGUCACCUUCCUAGAUGUACGGUGAGAAUUGAGAAGUGCAAACUGGGAUGGUCUGAGAAGCAGGCUUUUUAACGCACAGUCCUGUGCCCAGGGCAGGAGCUAAGGAAGGAAGCUGGCUUCUGAGGUAAAGUCUCAGCACCUUUGAUUCCUCUUCCCACUUUGCAAUGCCUCUCUUGAAUGAAGGCUCUAGCUUCAUUGGGCUUUGCUCUGGGAUUCUUGAAAAAAAAAAAAGAUGUGUUUGUUCUUUGUAAAGUCAUCUAUAUGCACAGGGUUGUACACACACGAGUGGACAUUCCUCUGGAGGCAGAAAGAGUGGUCCUCUGGAGCUGGAGGUACCGGGAUUGUGAUCCACCUGACAUGGAUGCAGAAACAGAACUCAGGUCUUCUGCCAGAGCAGUGCAUGCUUUAACCACUGAGCAAUCUCGCCAGUCCGUCCCGUAGAUUCUUAUCCUAACCCUUCAUGUUUGCUUCCCUUCACCUUGGGGACCUGGAGAAGGAGGGUUAUCCAGAUGUCCUUAAGUGAGUCCUGUCCCCAACCCUGAUCUGCCUCUGCAGGACCCAAGCUAAGGAGUAAGGGGCAGUGACCACUGCCUACUAGCUCUGGGGGGUGAAGUGAGGUGGCAUGCCAAGGACAGCCCUAGUCCCAGGUGGGAUGGCAUCUGCUUUUAUCACGCUUGGUCACGCCUAAGGGACCCCAUGCUUUUCCCUUUCCUCUUCCUCUCUGCACCUGAUGCUCACAGGCUCUCUGAUCCUGUCUCAGUGUUGAUGGCCUCUCAUGAGUGUCCUCUGGGAAACCGCAGCUGUCUCACCUGUGGUUGUCCCCCAAGUCCUGAACCCUCAGAGGCCAGAAUGUCCUGGGGUUCCCUCAGGCGC
RNAcentral lists this long non-coding RNA (2031 nucleotides) under Mus pahari (shrew mouse). RNAcentral's name for it is "lncRNA (MGP_PahariEiJ_G0004321.1)". The record is from RNAcentral. Lineage: Eukaryota; Metazoa; Chordata; Mammalia; Rodentia; Muridae.